AGCUUUGUGAAUCCGUGCAGAGUUUUGGUCAGACACCAACCAACUAGGGUUGAUCAGACUUCCAAGAUAAGUGAAGUU
Molecule: non-coding RNA, 78 nt
Organism: Schistosoma haematobium
Lineage: Eukaryota; Metazoa; Platyhelminthes; Trematoda; Strigeidida; Schistosomatidae
Source: Rfam